RNAcentral lists this ribosomal RNA (255 nucleotides) under uncultured bacterium. RNAcentral's name for it is "partial 16S ribosomal RNA". It matches the Rfam family "Bacterial small subunit ribosomal RNA", at positions 524 to 776 of the family's 1533-position model. The record is from RNAcentral.
UACGUAGGGGGCGAGCGUUGUCCGGAUUUAUUGGGCGUAAAGAGCUCGUAGGCGGUUCGAUAAGUCGGACGUGAAAUCUCCACGCUCAACGUGGAGGGGCCGUUCGAUACUGUCGUGACUCGAGUCCGGUAGGGGAGUGUGGAAUUCCCGGUGUAGCGGUGAAAUGCGCAGAGAUCGGGAGGAACACCCGUAGCGAAGGCGGCACUCUGGGCCAUUACUGGACACUGAGAAGCGAAAGCAUGGGGAGCGAACAGG